RNAcentral lists this ribosomal RNA (406 nucleotides) under uncultured bacterium. RNAcentral describes it as "partial 16S ribosomal RNA". It matches the Rfam family "Bacterial small subunit ribosomal RNA", at positions 30 to 526 of the family's 1533-position model. The record is from RNAcentral.
AUUGAACGCUGGCGGCAGGCCUAACACAUGCAAGUCGAGCGAGUGGCGGACGGGUGAGUAAUGUCUGGGAAACUGCCUGAUGGAGGGGGAUAACUACUGGAAACGGUAGCUAAUACCGCAUACCAUCAGAUGUGCCCAGAUGGGAUUAGCUUGGGGGUGGGGUAAUGGCGCACCUAGGCGCAGAUCCCUAGCUGGUCUGAGAGGAUGACCAGCCACACUGGAACUGAGACACGGUCCAGACUCCUACGUGAGGCAGCAGUGGGGAAUAUUGCACAAUGGGCGCAAGCCUGAUGCAGCCAUGCCGCGUGUAUGAAGAAGGCCUUCGGGUUGUAAAGUACUUUCAGCGGGGAGGCGUUACCCGCAGAAGAAGCACCGGCUAACUCCGUGCCAGCCGCCGCGGUAAUUC